GAUGAACGCUGGCGGCGUGCCUAAUACAUGCAAGUCGAGCGAAUGGAUUAAGAGCUUGCUCUUAUGAAGUUAGCGGCGGACGGGUGAGUAACACGUGGGUAACCUGCCCAUAAGACUGGGAUAACUCCGGGAAACCGGGGCUAAUACCGGAUAAUAUUUUGAACUGCAUGGUUCAAAAUUGAAAGGCGGCUUCGGCUGUCACUUAUGGAUGGACCCGCGUCGCAUUAGCUAGUUGGGGAGGUAACGGCUCACCAAGGCAACGAUGCGUAGCCGACCUGAGAGGGUGAUCGGCCAGACUGGGACUGAGACACGGACCAGACGCCUACGGGAGGCAGCAGGAGGGAAUCUUCCGCAAUGGACGAAAGUCUGACGGAGCAACGCCGCGUGAGUGAUGAAGGCUUUCGGGCCGUAAAACUCUGUUGUUAGGGAAGAACAAGUGCUAGUUGAAUAAGCUGGCACCUUGACGGUACCUAACCAGAAAGCCACGGCUAACUACGUGCCAGCCGCCGCAGUAA
This 515-nucleotide ribosomal RNA is filed under the name uncultured bacterium. RNAcentral's name for it is "partial 16S ribosomal RNA". It matches the Rfam family "Bacterial small subunit ribosomal RNA", at positions 28 to 523 of the family's 1533-position model. The record is from RNAcentral.